UGAGGAAUAUUGGACAAUGGGUGAGAGCCUGAUCCAGCCAUCCCGCGUGAAGGACGACGGCCCUAUGGGUUGUAAACUUCUUUUGUAUAGGGAUAAACCUACUCCUCGUGAGAGUAGCUGAAGGUACUAUACGAAUAAGCACCGGCUAACUCCGUG
Molecule: ribosomal RNA, 156 nt
Filed under: uncultured Porphyromonas sp.
Lineage: Bacteria; Pseudomonadati; Bacteroidota; Bacteroidia; Bacteroidales; Porphyromonadaceae
Description: partial 16S ribosomal RNA
Rfam family: Bacterial small subunit ribosomal RNA
Source: RNAcentral